This 23-nucleotide non-coding RNA is filed under the name Arabidopsis thaliana (thale cress). The record is from RNAcentral. Lineage: Eukaryota; Viridiplantae; Streptophyta; Magnoliopsida; Brassicales; Brassicaceae.
UAGGUCGCUGUUUUUAAAAUCGA